GAGAGACUACUGAUAGAGAUGC
This 22-nucleotide non-coding RNA is filed under the name Arabidopsis thaliana (thale cress). The record is from RNAcentral. Lineage: Eukaryota; Viridiplantae; Streptophyta; Magnoliopsida; Brassicales; Brassicaceae.